Molecule: long non-coding RNA, 816 nt
Organism: Homo sapiens (human)
Lineage: Eukaryota; Metazoa; Chordata; Mammalia; Primates; Hominidae
Gene: PSMD14-DT
Product: PSMD14 divergent transcript
Source: Ensembl
GCCAUCAGGAGGACUGAAACUGUAAACACAAGCUGGUAUUUUGGUGUGAUCACGCUAAUAUGGCGGUUUGUGAGGUCAAGGGGUGGAAGUUACAGGUAGGCAAUAUAUCUUUAACCAAAGUUGUGCUAGAUGGGGUCUUCAAGGUUAUUUGGAUUUUGAUGUACUAAGAAAAUAUCCUCAGUAGAAAAAUACCAGAAAUGGCAUUCCAACUCACCCUACCAAGGACAAGAAGCAGAUCAUUAGGAACAGAUAUAUUGGAGCUUGGCCCUGUAAAAACAUAGGAUAGCUAACAAAUACAUAAAAUUAGUUGUAUGGCCUCAUUUAUUCCUUCAUAGAGAUACAGGUACAACUAAUUUGACAGGCAGUAUGAUAAGGAACAAUCUGAAUGACACGUAAACAGGAGGGGGUAAAUUCCAAGCACAGCCUGAAUGAGAAGUACAACUCAUUUCCUGUAACCUAGAUGCCUUUUUAACACAUCUAUGCAGUCUCCAUGUGAAACCAGGUGCUGUUCCCAAAGGAGAAAACACUGCCCUCCAGUGGUCUUCAAUGAAGAAAUGGAAAUAGUUUCAGGUGGAAACCAGGCUUCUUGGAAGACUUCAAACUAUGCCAAAUGGUCUGAUUUCACCAUAGAGAAUGUUAUACUAUUAAUUGCCAAUUUGCAUAUGUGUGCAGCUGCUGUUUUGGCUCUGAACUCAAUCCGAUAAGCUUGCUGGAGGUAUCGCAGAGCACUUGGCAGCUUUCCUAUUUGAAAAGAAAGCCUCUCCCCUCUACAGAACAGCUGAUCGUCUAUCAGCGAUAGACCCUGAUGGCGUGAAU